CCUACGAGAGGCAGCAGUGAGGAAUAUUGGUCAAUGGGCGCGAGCCUGAACCAGCCAAGUAGCGUGAAGGAUGACUGCCCUACGGGUUGUAAACUUCUUUUAUAAAGGCAUAAAGUGAGGCUCGUGUGCUUUUUUGUCUGUACUUUAUGAAUAAGGAUAGGCUAACUCCUUGCCAGCAGACGCGGUAAUACGGAGGAUCCGAGCGUUAUCCGGAUUUAUUGGGUUUAAAGGGAGCGUAGAUGGGUUGUUAAGUCAGUUGUGAAAGUCUGCGGCUCAACCGUAAAAUUGCAAUUGCAACUGGCAGUCUUGAGUACAGUUGAGGUAAGCGGAAUUCGUGGUGUAGCGGUGAAAUGCUUAGAUAUCACGAAGAACUCCGAUUGCGAAGGCAGCUUACUAAACUGCCACUGACAUUGAUGCUCGAAAGUGUGGGUAUCAAACAGGAUUAGAUACCCGAGUAGUC
RNAcentral lists this ribosomal RNA (460 nucleotides) under uncultured bacterium. RNAcentral describes it as "partial 16S ribosomal RNA". It matches the Rfam family "Bacterial small subunit ribosomal RNA", at positions 338 to 795 of the family's 1533-position model. The record is from RNAcentral.